UAGGGAAUCUUCCGCAAUGGGCGAAAGCCUGACGGAGCAACGCCGCGUGAGUGAUGAAGGUCUUCGGAUCGUAAAACUCUGUUAUUAGGGAAGAACAAAUGUGUAAGUAACUAUGCACGUCUUGACGGUACCUAAUCAGAAAGCCACGGCUAACUACGUGCCAGCAGCCGCGGUAAUACGUAGGUGGCAAGCGUUAUCCGGAAUUAUUGGGCGUAAAGCGCGCGUAGGCGGUUUUUUAAGUCUGAUGUGAAAGCCCACGGCUCAACCGUGGAGGGUCAUUGGAAACUGUAAAACUUGAGUGCAGAAGAGGCAAGUGGAAUUCCAUGUGUAGCGGUGAAAUGCGCAGAGAUAUGGAGGAACACCAGUGGCGAAGGCGACUUUCUGGUCUGUAACUGACGCUGAUGUGCGAAAGCGUGGGGAUCAAACAGG
Molecule: ribosomal RNA, 429 nt
Filed under: Actinomycetes bacterium
Lineage: Bacteria; Bacillati; Actinomycetota; Actinomycetes
Description: Actinobacteria bacterium partial 16S ribosomal RNA
Rfam family: Bacterial small subunit ribosomal RNA
Source: RNAcentral